CUCUGGUAUUGAUUGGUGCUUGCAUCAUGAUUUACAUUUGAGUGAGUGGCGAACUGGUGAGUAACACGUGGGAAACCUGCCCAGAAGCGGGGGAUAACACCUGGAAACAGAUGCUAAUACCGCAUAACAACUUGGACCGCAUGGUCCGAGUUUGAAAGAUGGCUUCGGCUAUCACUUUUGGAUGGUCCCGCGGCGUAUUAGCUAGAUGGUGGGGUAACGGCUCACCAUGGCAAUGAUACGUAGCCGACCUGAGAGGGUAAUCGGCCACAUUGGGACUGAGACACGGCCCAAACUCCUACGGGAGGCAGCAGUAGGGAAUCUUCCACAAUGGACGAAAGUCUGAUGGAGCAACGCCGCGUGAGUGAAGAAGGGUUUCGGCUCGUAAAACUCUGUUGUUAAAGAAGAACAUAUCUGAGAGUAACUGUUCAGGUAUUGACGGUAUUUAACCAGAAAGCCACGGCUAACUACGUGCCAGCAGCCGCGGUAAUACGUAGGUGGCAAGCGUUGUCCGGAUUUAUUGGGCGUAAAGCGAGCGCAGGCGGUUUUUUAAGUCUGAUGUGAAAGCCUUCGGCUCAACCGAAGAAGUGCAUCGGAAACUGGGAAACUUGAGUGCAGAAGAGGACAGUGGAACUCC
RNAcentral lists this ribosomal RNA (634 nucleotides) under Lactiplantibacillus plantarum. RNAcentral's name for it is "bacterial SSU rRNA". It matches the Rfam family "Bacterial small subunit ribosomal RNA", at positions 70 to 670 of the family's 1533-position model. Lineage: Bacteria; Bacillati; Bacillota; Bacilli; Lactobacillales; Lactobacillaceae. The record is from RNAcentral.